RNAcentral lists this unclassified non-coding RNA (283 nucleotides) under uncultured fungus. RNAcentral describes it as "partial contains small subunit ribosomal RNA, internal transcribed spacer 1, and 5.8S ribosomal RNA". The stretch from base 1 to 73 matches the Rfam family "Eukaryotic small subunit ribosomal RNA", at positions 1759 to 1831 of the family's 1831-position model. The record is from RNAcentral. Lineage: Eukaryota; Fungi.
UCAAACUUGGUCAUUUAGAGGAAGUAAAAGUCGUAACAAGGUCUCCGUUGGUGAACCAGCGGAGGGAUCAUUACUGAGUUACCAAACUCCAAACCCACUGUGAAUCUACCAUCGUUGCUUCGGCGGGCGGCCUCGGGGGGGCCUGGAAGCCAGUCGCUGGCGCCCGCCGACAGCCCCAAACUCUUUUAUAUUUCUGAAGCCUUUCUUCUGAAUGCAAACAAACAAACAAGUAAAAACUUUCAACAACGGAUCUCUUGGUUCUGGCAUCGAUGAAGAACGCAGC